AGUAUAGGUUUCAUUAACCCUAAAAUUAUAUCGUUCUAUUCUUCCCACCUAUUUGAGCAAGACUAACCCUAAAAAUUUUCAAGUCAUCUUUCCAUUACAUCCUUAGCCAAAUCUAUACCACUCUUCACUCUCAUCUUUGAUCACCAUCAUCUUAUGUCUAUCGAUCCAAGUAGCUUGAUGUAUUUGAGGUAAGAAACUCUACAUUAACUUAUUUAUUGAUCACAAUAGGAGAAUUUUCGUAGGUCUCCUUUUCUUAUUUUUCAGAAUGAAACAUGUCUCAGUAAAACUGUCAUAUCUCUUUAAAUACUCAUCUGAUUCUCGCAAUCUUGGUGUCUAUAGAAAGCUUAUUAAAUUUCCUAUAAUUCUUAUGAAGAAAGAUUUUACAGAAUCGAAAUUUAUCUAUGUCAAAAAUUAGUAUUUUUACGCUGUUUGUUGUAAAUCGUUUUUCAUAUUUUCUAUAUAAGUUGUUUCAGUAAAAUCCGAAUAUCUCUCUGAAUAAUGAUCCGAUUCUAGCGAUCUUGGUACUGUUGAAGAGAUAAUUCAAUUUUCCAAAUGUUUUAUGAAGAAACCAUUCACUAAUUAUUGAUUAUUCUAAGUCAAAAUUAUUGUUUUAUUGCUGUAGUUCGAAAUCCAUUUGUUUCAGGAUUUCUAGAAAACUGUUUCGGUAUAAUAUCUAUAUCUCUUACGUUAUAACUCCGAUUUUAAAGAUUUUAGUGUCAUUAGAAAGGGAAUUUGAUUUUCUAAAACUUUUAUGAAGAGAGUAUUCUCUGAUUUGGAAUAUUUCAGUAUCAAAACUUUGUAUUUUCGAUGUCUCCUGUGAUUCGUUACUCCAUAUUCCUUCUCAGAAAUAGUUUCAGUAAAACUAUCAUAACUCCCUCAGUUUUAAUCCAUUUUUAAUGAUCUAUAUAUCGUUGGAAAGAUAAUUAAAUUUCCUAUAAUUUUUAUGAAGGAAACUUUUACUGAAUUCGUGUAGUUAUUGGUCAAAAAUAGUAUUCUUUCUGCUGUACUGUAAGAGUGUGAAUUUUAAUGUUAGGGCCUUGACCCAUGUGUUAUUAUAGGUAGUAGUGACGAGAUAACAAGUUUAAGCAGCGGGAUUUGAGGUAUUAGACAGGGAAGUAUGUAUAGUGAGCAGGGUCAGUUCUGGUACGUAUACUGUGAGCGGCUACGGGCGGACAAACGAUCUAGAACGCCAGUGGUGCCUUAGUUUUAUUUUAAGCAGUUGAUAAAUCUAACACAGUGGAAAUGCAUUAUUUAAAAUUAUUUACUUACUGUAUCUUGUUUUACAAAUGAAGGAUCCUUCUCUGUUGCAUUUUGAUUUUUUUUAAAAUCCACUGUUGUAUUUAAAUUAUUUUUUUUUUAUCUUUUCAAAUUAUGCAUGAAAAUAGUAUUUUUGUAAAAUAAGGCAAAAUAUCGGGGCGUUACAGUUGGUAUCAGAGCCGAUCGUCCGUUAGCCCGAAGGAUACUCACGGUAUACAUACAGAAGACUGAAAAAGAUCCCUCUCACUAUUAUGUAAGUGUUAGUUUUAAUUUUCUUGGUAUUGCCAUUAAUAGUUUUAUAUGUGAUACAUAGAUUUUUGUUAAAAUAUGUUUCCUAGAAUUAGUGGCUCAUCUGUAGUGGGUGCUUAGAGAAAUUAAGAGUAUAUUACCUGUUAUGAUUGAUUACACUUUUUUAUGAAGAAUAUGAAUAGGUUUUAUUUUUCUUUAUUGUCUUGAAUUGAAACUAGGAAGGACAGUGUUCCUUUCUUGAAAAUUUAGAAUAAAUUAUAUUAGGAAUUCAUAAGAUUUUGUUUGAUAAAUAGAAUAGUACUAGUUAAGCUUGACAACAUUAAGUUUAGAUAUAUUCAUGGAAUCUUCUCUCCCUAUAAUUGAACUCUUUUGUUUCUAUUAAAUUAACCUUUCUUGUAAGAGCUCACACAUGAAACUAGAAGAUCAGUUAGAAUCAAUGUGAAAAGAACGACCAAUAGAGGUGGGGGCUAAGGAUGUGUGUUCCGCUGACCCACAGAUGGUUGAUGUUCUAGAAAACCCAAUAAUAGUUAAGGCUAACGAUCUAAUAGAGGUAUUGGAAGGACUACGAGCAUGACUAAGGCAAUUUGUUGAAGAGUUUUCACAGGCUCAGCAAAAUAUCACCAACACUAGUAGUGGAACUUGAAGCACAUAAUGAAAUGUACCAAUAGCCAACUAAGUACCGACGCAUAUAUUUUCACCUAUCUAUGAAUGGUUGAAGAAGCGGUCUCUACACCUAGCCAUGAAUGGAAGCCCAACAUAUAGGAAGUAGGGAUGACUUAGAAUAGUAGACGUUAUACCAGACUGGGACAGUAUAAUUUACGAAACCUACUUAUUAAGAAGGAUGAAAUAAUAGAUCUUUAAGGAGAAGGUACUAUCUUGUUGGAUAUUCUAUAAGUUACACACUCUUAAGUUAGAUGGUAAGAAGUAUGAGUACUGUAUGCAAAGACAUUGGAGAUAAGUAUGUUAUAGAAAUGAGUCAGGAGAGGACGAUGCCAUCAUAUAGAAAGGAGUGUAGUGUGCUGAAUAGAAUCCAAAAUGAGAAGUUAGAAAGAGACAUGAUAAAAUUACUAGAGGUAAUAACUUAUGAAGGUAUCUUAAACACUAAGAGAUAAGCAGAGCAUCAACAAAUAUUAGAUUACCGAAGGAAAGUUGUAAACUUUAAACUCAAGGUCAUCUACUUGGUGGAGGAGAUAAUAGAGAAAAAUGUGUAUGGCUUCGACAGAGACAUUUUCAAAGGAGAAAGACAAAAAAAAGGUCCAGGCACAGCUAACAAUUUGGGUACAACAUGAAUGAGAGACAACUAAGAGGGUGACUACUCGGAAUUGAUCACAACUACACAACUAAGAGAUUGUGGAUGCAGCUUUGUGGCGGGUGUACAACAAACAACUAUAGAGAGUAGAUCGCAAAUUCAAAACUUGAGAAAGAGGAGGAAUUAGCAUUCAAGGGUGACAUCCCUAGAUUCCAAAUACUCACUGAUGCAACAACAAUGGUGUGGAGUAUAGCUCAAUGAGAAAAUGUUAGGAAAGCCUCACUUAGAGACAGGAGAAAAGUGAGACACAAUUAGGACCAAAGUAACAUAUAUUGAAGAAUGUCAUGGCAUGUCAAGGACUAUACAAGUUUUUGAUAAGUGUUGGGAUUAGAAAAUACACUCAUGCAACAUAAAGGAAUUCAAGGCACAACGUAAGCAAUGGAUACUACAAUCCAAUUACGACUUAUAUUAUGGGCAAUAGUAUAAGUAUGUUGGAGUGUCAUCUAAUGAGAAACUAAGAGGAAAACUCACAAAGUCCAGCCCUGCUGAAAAGAGAUGGUGUUUCUAGGCCCUAUAGUGCCCGAGAAGAAAAUGACUAUGGAUUUGUCAAAAGCUAAAAUUGUUAAGAGCAAAAAAAAAAAGGAAAAA
Cannabis sativa is the source of this 3403-nucleotide long non-coding RNA. RefSeq lists it as uncharacterized. The transcript is spliced from 2 exons. Lineage: Eukaryota; Viridiplantae; Streptophyta; Magnoliopsida; Rosales; Cannabaceae. The record is from RefSeq and is a predicted model, not a curated record.